GAUGAACGCUAGCUACAGGCUUAACACAUGCAAGUCGAGGGGCAGCAUUUCAGUUUGCUUGCAAACUGGAGAUGGCGACCGGCGCACGGGUGAGUAACACGUAUCCAACCUGCCGAUAACUCGGGGAUAGCCUUUCGAAAGAAAGAUUAAUACCCGAUGGCAUAAUUAGACCGCAUGGUCUUAUUAUUAAAGAAUUUCGGUUAUCGAUGGGGAUGCGUUCCAUUAGGCAGUUGGUGAGGUAACGGCUCACCAAACCUUCGAUGGAUAGGGGUUCUGAGAGGAAGGUCCCCCACAUUGGAACUGAGACACGGUCCAAACUCCUACGGGAGGCAGCAGUGAGGAAUAUUGGUCAAUGGGCGCAGGCCUGAACCAGCCAAGUAGCGUGAAGGAUGACUGCCCUAUGGGUUGUAAACUUCUUUUAUAUGGGAAUAAAGUUUUCCACGUGUGGAAUUUUGUAUGUACCAUAUGAAUAAGGAUCGGCUAACUCCGUGCCAGCAGCCGCGGUAAUACGGAGGAUCCGAGCGUUAUCCGGAUUUAUUGGGUUUAAAGGGAGCGUAGGUGGACAGUUAAGUCAGUUGUGAAAGUUUGCGGCUCAACCGUAAAAUUGCAGUUGAUACUGACUGUCUUGAGUACAGUAGAGGUGGGCGGAAUUCGUGGUGUAGCGGUGAAAUGCUUAGAUAUCACGAAGAACUCCGAUUGCGAAGGCAGCUCACUGGACUGCAACUGACACUGAUGCUCGAAAGUGUGGGUAUCAAACAGGAUUAGAUACCCUGGUAGUCCACACAGUAAACGAUGAAUACUCGCUGUUUGCGAUAUACAGUAAGCGGCCAAGCGAAAGCAUUAAGUAUUCCACCUGGGGAGUACGCCGGCAACGGUGAAACUCAAAGGAAUUGACGGGGGCCCGCACAAGCGGAGGAACAUGUGGUUUAAUUCGAUGAUACGCGAGGAACCUUACCCGGGCUUAAAUUGCAUUUGAAUAUAUUGGAAACAGUAUAGCCGUAAGGCAAAUGUGAAGGUGCUGCAUGGUUGUCGUCAGCUCGUGCCGUGAGGUGUCGGCUUAAGUGCCAUAACGAGCGCAACCCUUAUCUUUAGUUACUAACAGGUCAUGCUGAGGACUCUAGAGAGACUGCCGUCGUAAGAUGUGAGGAAGGUGGGGAUGACGUCAAAUCAGCACGGCCCUUACGUCCGGGGCUACACACGUGUUACAAUGGGGGGUACAGAAGGCAGCUACCUGGUGACAGGAUGCUAAUCCCAAAAGCCUCUCUCAGUUCGGAUCGAAGUCUGCAACCCGACUUCGUGAAGCUGGAUUCGCUAGUAAUCGCGCAUCAGCCAUGGCGCGGUGAAUACGUUCCCGGGCCU
RNAcentral lists this ribosomal RNA (1359 nucleotides) under uncultured bacterium. Its description in RNAcentral is "bacterial SSU rRNA". It matches the Rfam family "Bacterial small subunit ribosomal RNA", at positions 28 to 1381 of the family's 1533-position model. The record is from RNAcentral.